GCUGGGGUAGCUCAGUGGUAGAGCAUCUCCAUGGUAAGGAGAAGGUCGAGGGUUCGAUCCCCUUCCCCAGCU
This 72-nucleotide transfer RNA is filed under the name Elusimicrobiota bacterium. RNAcentral's name for it is "Elusimicrobia bacterium (groundwater metagenome) tRNA-Thr". It matches the Rfam family "tRNA". From Rfam's summary of the family: Transfer RNA (tRNA) molecules are approximately 80 nucleotides in length. Their secondary structure includes four short double-helical elements and three loops (D, anti-codon, and T loops). Lineage: Bacteria; Pseudomonadati; Elusimicrobiota. The record is from RNAcentral.